Molecule: ribosomal RNA, 549 nt
Filed under: Microbacterium sp.
Lineage: Bacteria; Bacillati; Actinomycetota; Actinomycetes; Micrococcales; Microbacteriaceae
Description: bacterial SSU rRNA
Rfam family: Bacterial small subunit ribosomal RNA
Source: RNAcentral
CAGCUUGUUGGUGAGGUAAUGGCUCACCAAGGCGUCGACGGGUAGCCGGCCUGAGAGGGUGACCGGCCACACUGGGACUGAGACACGGCCCAGACUCCUACGGGAGGCAGCAGUGGGGAAUAUUGCACAAUGGGCGCAAGCCUGAUGCAGCAACGCCGCGUGAGGGAUGACGGCCUUCGGGUUGUAAACCUCUUUUAGCAGGGAAGAAGCGAAAGUGACGGUACCUGCAGAAAAAGCACCGGCUAACUACGUGCCAGCAGCCGCGGUAAUACGUAGGGUGCAAGCGUUAUCCGGAAUUAUUGGGCGUAAAGAGCUCGUAGGCGGUUUGUCGCGUCUGCUGUGAAAUCCGGAGGCUCAACCUCCGGUCUGCAGUGGGUACGGGCAGACUAGAGUGCGGUAGGGGAGAUUGGAAUUCCUGGUGUAGCGGUGGAAUGCGCAGAUAUCAGGAGGAACACCGAUGGCGAAGGCAGAUCUCUGGGCCGUUACUGACGCUGAGGAGCGAAAGGGUGGGGAGCAAACAGGCUUAGAUACCCUGGUAGUCCACCCCGU